UACGGAGGGGGCUAGCGUUGUUCGGAAUUACUGGGCGUAAAGCGUACGUAGGCGGACUGAUCAGUUGGGGGUGAAAUCCCAGGGCUUAACCCUGGAACUGCCUUCAAUACUGUCAGUCUUGAGUUUGGGAGAGGUGAGUGGAAUUCCUAGUGUAGAGGUGAAAUUCAUAGAUAUUAGGAGGAACACCAGUGGCGAAGGCGGCUCACUGGCCCAUUACUGACGCUGAGGUACGAAAGCGUGGGGAGCAAACAGGAUUAGAUACCCCAGUAGUCC
RNAcentral lists this ribosomal RNA (273 nucleotides) under uncultured bacterium. RNAcentral describes it as "partial 16S ribosomal RNA". It matches the Rfam family "Bacterial small subunit ribosomal RNA", at positions 524 to 796 of the family's 1533-position model. The record is from RNAcentral.